This 5470-nucleotide long non-coding RNA is filed under the name Brassica napus (rape). RNAcentral describes it as "long non-coding RNA (BNAP_LNC005882)". The record is from RNAcentral. Lineage: Eukaryota; Viridiplantae; Streptophyta; Magnoliopsida; Brassicales; Brassicaceae.
AGCUGAGAAAAGAUGCUCAUCCUUCUACUUACGGUGGCGAUGGAGGAAAUGAUUGCAGCCAUUGGUGCCUCCCCGGGUUGCCUGAUACUUGGAACCAACUUCUCUACGCAGCACUUUCCAUGUGAAUUGAGUAAAGUGCAAACACACACCUUCAUUCUGUAAAUUACAUUCUUGGAGGUGCAAAGAAUCUGACAGUUUGCGUUGGGUGAAGGGUUAAGUGAAGACUAGAGACAUAAAGAAGAUGGAUUGUAAAGCGCCUUUAUAUUAUUUUGUAUGGGAGAAGCAAUAAUCUCAAAUUGUCUAGUGUUGUGUGACUAUAUAGAAACAUACUCAAUAAUAAUACACUAUUUUGGUAACUCUUGGCUUACUUUGAUUUGAAGAGCGAAGCUGUACUUAUGUAGAUCUCCAUUGAAAUAGAUUUGUGUAGACUUUUGACAUUCUCAUUAACAACACUAAUAUCGUAUCAAUGUACCAUGAACAUAUGUAAACUCACAUUCAAAAGCUACCUGAAGAGGAGUGCCAUACACUUAUAUUACUCACAUUCUCACUCAAUUCUCCACGUGGGAUCCUAACAGACCCUCUCACAUUCGGAUCUAGACAUCAGAACGUGAAGUUUGUGACACUAGAUAUCCAUCCACAUGUGGGCCACAGUCCGAGAAACUGAAAGUGAUGGCAUAACCACUUCCCAAACUACCUCAAAAGUGAAGAAUGUCACACACUCAACUCUAGUCUCCAUGUACGGUUCUAAUAACACGAAUCUAACCAAUAACAGUACUCUUACAUGAUAUUCAAUUGUACAAGAAGACCAUGGCGUCUAGAAUUACAGAAGAAAAAAAACUUGAUCUUGAAGAGCCCUAGAGGAGAGCAAUUUGAGAAUUCAAUUGAAAUCACCUCAAGGGAAAUUGAAUCCCUUUUCGAUGAGGAUCUGCACGCAGCUCGUCUUCUUCUCCUUCUUCUCAAUCUCUCUAUCUUCUUCUUCCUCAUCAGUCCUCCUCGAGUUCAGAACAAUGGCUUUCACAACAUCCCUCAAAGGAAUCUUAAGCUUCUUCGCCGGAGACUCCAAUCUUGAAGAUGAUGGCAAGAGAUUAGCCGAUUUCUCCAAAGGAAUUGAAUCAACAGGAGCCGUACGAUCCUCCUCUGAAUCAACGGUAUCAGGGCUUUCUGGGGGAGAGACUAAUCGAACCGCGUGGCUCUCCACCUCGUAACCCACCGAACCGUUCACACUAUCAGAAUCAUCGGAAUCUCGGCGAGGCGCGGUUCCGGCGUUUAACGGCGAGGCUCCGAGGACGGAGGGAUCGGAGUCUGGAGGAACGCCUCGUUGAGCGAAGCCGCAGCUCCGGAGGAAAAUCUCCUGAGACGCGGUUUCGUGGCAGUAAUCGAAGAAGGAACUGAUCUUGUUGUUGUUGUUGUUUCCUUCCAUCGUCUCUCUCUCUCUCUCUGCAAACGAACUGUUGUCUCGCAGGGAGGGAUGCUUCGAUUUACAACUUUCUAGGGUUUAAGGAGGGAAUGCUUUUUCCCGCUCACUUUAGUUUCGAGGCGGUCUGCUACCAAACGCGUUUAUUCAUUGAACGCACACCAAACGCUUUCAUUCCAUGUAAUACUCGAACUGAAAUCAGCCAAAAAAACAUUUUUCCAGUUGGGUUUAGAUCUGAACAUUUUACGGUAGGUUAUAUUACUCGGGUUAUAUAUUUGUGACUAUUCAGAUAUAGUUUCUAUUAUUCUUAAUAUUAUUUUAGGUUUUAUUUCCAGUUUUUCAGGUACAUUUUAUAUCUUAAAUGUUUUUAAGAGUUUAAAUAAAUUUUAGAUAUUCAAAUACAUUUCUAGCAUUAUGGGUUCUAAACACCCGAAACUAAUCUGAUAAAAAAAAGUUAGGAUAUUAGCGGUUCUAAAAAUUGAAACCCAAAUCAAGAACAACCUUGAAAGCCAAUCAAAACACAUGCAUAUCCCAUAUGAGUCCAAAACUCUGACUGGCAUUUUCAAACUAUACUUUAUUUUUCAUUCUAAAAUAAAAUUUAGAUUCUUUAGAAGAAAAAUAUUCUAAUAGUACUUUAUUUUUUGCUCUAUAAUAGAGUAAAAAGUGAGUUUAUUCUAUAUAUAGAAAAAAAUGUUUUUAUUUGUUUAUUGCUCUAAUUUUUACUAUAAAAUAAAAUACUAUUGGAAUAUAAUUCAACUCUAUUAUAGAAUUAAUCUAUUUUAGAGUGAAAAAUAAAGUAAACCAUUGGAAAUGGUUUUAAAUCCAAAAAACUUAGAUCCGAUUAGAUUAGAACCGACUCAGACUUGAUCCAAAAAACCUAAAUGUCCAGGCGUGGCUAAGACUGAAACAUUUGUUUCUAUGAUUCAAUGUUUAAACUGAAAUUGAGAUAGUGAGAAACAAACUUUUUGUUCUGAAAACAAAAAGUGACUGCAAAGUUAUCCCUUUCACCUAUCUUCUUCCAUUAGGACAUUUGUUCUAACUCCACAAAUAUGUGUAUAAAAGCUUGAACCCAUCAGCAAGCUUCUUCACAAAAACCCAAAACAUAAGAUUUUUGUUUACUAGAAAAAAGAUGGGUUUCAACUUCAUCUCUCUCCUUUUUCUUCCACUUCUAUCAGUCACAAUCUUGUCGGGACUCGAGCAGGCUUUGGCUUCCGACAACACACUCCUCAAGAACACCAACCACCGCAACAGCACGGCGGACGGUGGGAUGUCGUCGCUGAGAGGGAAGAAGCAGAGGAGUGGAUGUAACUUGUUCCAAGGCCGAUGGGUCUUCGAUGCUUCUUAUCCUUUCUAUGAUUCGUUCUCGUGUCCAUUCAUCGACGGCGAGUUUGACUGCCUCAAGUUCGGUCGACCAGACAAACAGUUCCUCAAGUACUCAUGGCAACCUGAAUCUUGCACCAUCCCAAGGUUUCUAUUUAACUAUUCCCUUAUAUGUCCAACGUUUUUAACGAAACAAUAAAAUUGAGCUAACCAUAUAGUUAACAAAAAUUUGAUUGGUGGGUAUGUAUAAAAUUUCAUUCCAUGCAUUGUUUAUAACCUUUUUUCUAUUUAGUACGAAUUUGUUUAGCUAAAAAAUUAUAAGUUGAAUAAACGUAAUUUCCUAUGUCGUACGUUAUGUUUUGUAAACUUAUUAGAAGUUAGUGUUGAUAUGUAUAUAUGUACUUUGUUUGGUAAACCGUAAACGUGGUUGUAGAGCACCGCAUUGAAGAUAUUCUCUUCACAAUGAAAACGAGUAUUUACAUUAAUGUUAUACAUAAAAGAAGUUAUCAAGUGGAUUGUUUUGUAAGAAUUGUCUAAAGUGGCAACAAGCUGUGAUAAAUUAUAGUAAAGUAUAAAUGCAUGAUGAUGAUCAAUGUUAAUUACUUAAUUUUGUUUAAUCACGUAAUUAGAUUCGACGGUGCGGCGUUUCUGAGGAGAUUGAGAGGGAAGCGAGUCAUGUUCGUGGGAGACUCACUGAGUCUGAACAUGUGGGAAUCGUUGGGUUGUAUGAUACAUGCGUCGGUACCAAAAACCAAGACAACUUUUGUUAAGGGAACCCCACUCUCUACUAUCACUUUCCAGGUCUCUUUCUUUUCUUAAAUAAAAUUAUAAAACUGUGUUCUCCGGAUAAAUACAAAUCUAGUUAUCAAUCCUCACGAGGAAUAGUUGUCAUUAACGAAAAUGAAUUGGCUUGUCAUAAAUACUGAAUGCUUAUUAGUCACGGACUAUUUAAUAUAUUCGUAUUUAGAAAAGAGAUGAAAAGGCUGUAUGGUGCUAAUAAUGCUUAUUAUCAUAUUGUUGCUAGUGUUCGAUCACACCCACUUGCCUACAUCCCUUUAAAGUUUAUUUGAUUUUCAGUCUACAAUUCUACAUUAUGAGAAAAGUGACACAUACAUGAGUAUUAAUACGUCUAGAAGAAGAUAUUUGAUAGAAACAUAUAAAGUUUUCCAUUUAGUGAAAAUUUUGAUUUGUUAUUGUUCAUUCGAAAGCUAUUUUUCAUUUUAACCAUAAAUGUGCAAAGUUCUCUGUCAUUCAUGAAACCAAAAACAAUGUGAAAUGACAUGUCUUCUUCACUUGAUGUGGACCUCCAAACUUUUUUCUUUUAUUUGUUUAAAAUUUAAAUAAUGUUUACUUUUUAUGUAUUUACCACUGUGCCAAAAUUUUGUUUUUAUAUUCUUGAUACCAUAGAUAAUAAUAAAAACAAAUAUAAAGGACGUAAUACGUAAAGGAAGUACACUAACAACAACUCCAACAGUCCAGCUUGUUCUUUACUUUUCCCUCUGACAAUUUUCUACUGUUCUCUUUGUUCUGCAAAACCUUUUUUUCCUUUCAUUUAAUAAUUUUCUUAUUUUUAAUGGAAAUAGAUAUUUUGAAAACCCCUGAUUUUAUUUCAUUUUAUGAAAAACAGGAAUAUGGAGUGACGUUACACCUAUAUAGAACAACAUACAUAGUGGAUAUAUCCAAAGAGAAAAUAGGGCGUGUGCUUAACCUUGGAGCCAUUGAUGGAGGUGCUGAUGCUUGGAAAAACAUGGACGUCCUUGUCUUUAACUCUUGGCAUUGGUGGACUCACAAAGGCCAAUCUCAAGGGUCAGUACCAAUGAUUAACCACAUCUUUAAUUUAAACCCAAUAUAUAUUAUCCUUUGUACAACUUAAUGUUGAAUCUUUCUUCUUCUUUUUUCUUGAUGUUUAAUUUAAAUUUAGGUGGGAUUAUAUUAGAGUUGGGUCUUCUUUGGUAAGAGACAUGAACCGUCUUGACGCUUUCUACAAAGGACUUACCACUUGGGGUCGAUGGGUUGAUCAAAACGUCGAUACCACCAAGACCAAAGUUUUCUUCCAAGGCAUUUCUCCCACUCACUACGAGUAAGUCCAAUUACAUUGCGACUGUUGCCAAACGUUAUUUUGCGUAUUCGUUAUGUAAAAUGCACACGCAAAACACAAACAAACAAUCAAGAUGCAUUUGUGUAUUUUACCAAAAAAAAAAAGAUGCAUUUGUGUACAAUUAUCUAUGGUUUGAGAAAAUAGCGUUCAAACACAAACUAAAUCGGUUUUGUGUUUCUUGUGGAUGACAGGGGACGAGAAUGGAACGAGCCGAGAAAGAGUUGUAAUGGGCAAAUGCAGCCGUUGGAUGGAUCAAAUUACCCAAGUGGCCAGCCUCCAUCUGCAGGAGUUGUGUCCAAAGUGUUGAGUUCGAUGAAAAAACGUGUGUUCUUGCUAGAUAUCACCACUUUGUCUCAGCUGAGAAAAGAUGCUCAUCCUUCUACUUACGGUGGCGAUGGAGGAAAUGAUUGCAGCCAUUGGUGCCUCCCCGGGUUGCCUGAUACUUGGAACCAACUUCUCUACGCAGCACUUUCCAUGUGAAUUGAGUAAAGUGCAAACACACACCUUCAUUCUGUAAAUUACAUUCUUGGAGGUGCAAAGAAUCUGACAGUUUGCGUUGGGUGAAGGGUUAAGUGAAGACUAGAGACAUAAAGAAGAUGGAUUGUAAAGCGCCUUUAUAUUAUUUUGUAUGGGAGAAG